Molecule: non-coding RNA, 94 nt
Filed under: Aquaspirillum sp.
Lineage: Bacteria; Pseudomonadati; Pseudomonadota; Betaproteobacteria; Neisseriales; Aquaspirillaceae
Also listed under: 1 other name
Description: Glycine sequence
Rfam family: Glycine riboswitch aptamer
About the family: This family represents the bacterial glycine riboswitch. Glycine riboswitches usually consist of two metabolite-binding aptamers domains with similar structures in tandem.
Source: RNAcentral
GGGCACCAUGCAGGAGAGAGUGGCCGCAAUCAGGCCGCCGCCGAAGGCGCAAGCGCACCCGCAAUCGCUCAGGCUAAAGGACUGUAUGGUAUCC